This 514-nucleotide ribosomal RNA is filed under the name Staphylococcus sp. CH323b_11C. Its description in RNAcentral is "bacterial SSU rRNA". It matches the Rfam family "Bacterial small subunit ribosomal RNA", at positions 57 to 555 of the family's 1533-position model. Lineage: Bacteria; Bacillati; Bacillota; Bacilli; Caryophanales; Staphylococcaceae. The record is from RNAcentral.
GCAGUCGAGCGAACGAUAAGGAGCUUGCUCCUUUGACGUUAGCGGCGGACGGGUGAGUAACACGUGGGUAACCUACCUAUAAGACUGGAAUAACUCCGGGAAACCGGGGCUAAUGCCGGAUAACAUUUAGAACCGCAUGGUUCUAAAGUGAAAGAUGGUUUUGCUAUCACUUAUAGAUGGACCCGCGCCGUAUUAGCUAGUUGGUAAGGUAAUGGCUUACCAAGGCAACGAUACGUAGCCGACCUGAGAGGGUGAUCGGCCACACUGGAACUGAGACACGGUCCAGACUCCUACGGGAGGCAGCAGUAGGGAAUCUUCCGCAAUGGGCGAAAGCCUGACGGAGCAACGCCGCGUGAGUGAUGAAGGGUUUCGGCUCGUAAAACUCUGUUAUUAGGGAAGAACAAACGUGUAAGUAACUGUGCACGUCUUGACGGUACCUAAUCAGAAAGCCACGGCUAACUACGUGCCAGCAGCCGCGGUAAUACGUAGGUGGCAAGCGUUAUCCGGAAUUAUU